UCCCCGAUAGCUCAGUUGGUAGAGCGUUCGACUGUUAAUCGAAUGGUCGCAGGUUCGAGUCCUGCUCGGGGAGCCA
RNAcentral lists this transfer RNA (76 nucleotides) under Xanthobacter sp. RNAcentral's name for it is "tRNA-Asn". It matches the Rfam family "tRNA". Rfam says of the family: Transfer RNA (tRNA) molecules are approximately 80 nucleotides in length. RNAcentral also lists the same sequence under 15 other names. The record is from RNAcentral. Lineage: Bacteria; Pseudomonadati; Pseudomonadota; Alphaproteobacteria; Hyphomicrobiales; Xanthobacteraceae.